Molecule: ribosomal RNA, 459 nt
Filed under: uncultured bacterium
Lineage: Bacteria
Description: partial 16S ribosomal RNA
Rfam family: Bacterial small subunit ribosomal RNA
Source: RNAcentral
CCUACGGGUGGCAGCAGUGAGGAAUAUUGGUCAAUGGUCGGGAGACUGAACCAGCCAAGCCGCGUGAGGGAGGAAGGUACAGAGUAUCGUAAACCUCUUUUGUCAGGGAACAAAGGCGGGGACGUGUCCCCGGAUGAGUGUACCUGAAGAAAAAGCAUCGGCUAACUCCGUGCCAGCAGCCGCGGUAAUACGGAGGAUGCGUGCGUUAUCGGGAUUUAUUGGGUUUAAGGGGGGGGCAGGCGGUCUGUUAAGUCCGCGGUCAAAGCCCGGGGCUCAACCCCGGCCCGCCGUUGAAACUGGCAGUCUCGAGUAGGGGAGAGGCAUGCGGAAUGCGCGGUGUAGCAGUGAAAUGCAUAGAUAUCGCGAAGAACUCCGAUUGCGAAGGCAGCAUGCCGGCUCCACACUGACGCUGAGGCACGAAAGCGUGGGUAUCGAACAGGAUUAGAUACCCUGGUAGUC